UGAGUAACACGUGAGUAACCUGCCCUUGACUCUGGGAUAAGCCUGGGAAACUGGGUCUAAUACCGGAUAUGACCAUCUGACGCAUGUCAUGGUGGUGGAAAGCUUUUGUGGUUUUGGAUGGACUCGCGGCCUAUCAGCUUGUUGGUGGGGUAAUGGCCUACCAAGGCGACGACGGGUAGCCGGCCUGAGAGGGUGACCGGCCACACUGGGACUGAGACACGGCCCAGACUCCUACGGGAGGCAGCAGUGGGGAAUAUUGCACAAUGGGCGGAAGCCUGAUGCAGCGACGCCGCGUGAGGGAUGACGGCCUUCGGGUUGUAAACCUCUUUCAGUAGGGAAGAAGCGUAAGUGACGGUACCUGCAGAAGAAGCGCCGGCUAACUACGUGCCAGCAGCCGCGGUAAUACGUAGGGCGCAAGCGUUAUCCGGAAUUAUUGGGCGUAAAGAGCUCGUAGGCGGUUUGUCGCGUCUGCUGUGAAAGACCGGGGCUCAACUCCGGUUCUGCAGUGGGUACGGGCAGACUAGAGUGCAGUAGGGGAGACUGGAAUUCCUGGUGUAGCGGUGAAAUGCGCAGAUAUCAGGAGGAACACCGAUGGCGAAGGCAGGUCUCUGGGCUGUAACUGACGCUGAGGAGCGAAAGCAUGGGGAGCGAACAGGAUUAGAUACCCUGGUAGUCCAUGCCGUAAACGUUGGGCACUAGGUGUGGGGGACAUUCCACGUUUUCCGCGCCGUAGCUAACGCAUUAAGUGCCCCGCCUGGGGAGUACGGCCGCAAGGCUAAAACUCAAAGGAAUUGACGGGGGCCCGCACAAGCGGCGGAGCAUGCGGAUUAAUUCGAUGCAACGCGAAGAACCUUACCAAGGCUUGACAUGAACCGGAAAGACCUGGAAACAGGUGCCCCGCUUGCGGUCGGUUUACAGGUGGUGCAUGGUUGUCGUCAGCUCGUGUCGUGAGAUGUUGGGUUAAGUCCCGCAACGAGCGCAACCCUCGUUCUAUGUUGCCAGCGCGUGAUGGCGGGGACUCAUAGGAGACUGCCGGGGUCAACUCGGAGGAAGGUGGGGACGACGUCAAAUCAUCAUGCCCCUUAUGUCUUGGGCUUCACGCAUGCUACAAUGGCCGGUACAAAGGGUUGCGAUACUGUGAGGUGGAGCUAAUCCCAAAAAGCCGGUCUCAGUUCGGAUUGGGGUCUGCAACUCGACCCCAUGAAGUCGGAGUCGCUAGUAAUCGCAGAUCAGCAACGCUGCGGUGAAUACGUUCCCGGGCCUUGUACACACCGCCCGUCARGUCACGAAAGUUGGUAACACCCGAAGCCGGUGGCCUAACC
This 1322-nucleotide ribosomal RNA is filed under the name Paenarthrobacter aurescens. RNAcentral's name for it is "bacterial SSU rRNA". Lineage: Bacteria; Bacillati; Actinomycetota; Actinomycetes; Micrococcales; Micrococcaceae. The record is from RNAcentral.